GCAGGUACGGCGAUAUGGUCCCAAUGACCAUCGUAGGCAAAAUCGUUGGCGGCAUCUGCUCAUUAUCUGGCGUUCUGGUCAUAGCCCUGCCAGUCCCGGUCAUAGUGAGCAGC
Molecule: non-coding RNA, 113 nt
Organism: Macrostomum lignano
Lineage: Eukaryota; Metazoa; Platyhelminthes; Macrostomidae
Source: Rfam